UCCCUGGCUUUCCAGUGGUUAGGACUCUACACUUCCGCUGCAGAGGGCACAGGUUCCAUCCCUGGCCAGGGAA
RNAcentral lists this transfer RNA (73 nucleotides) under Bos taurus (domestic cattle). It matches the Rfam family "tRNA". Rfam says of the family: Transfer RNA (tRNA) molecules are approximately 80 nucleotides in length. RNAcentral also lists the same sequence under 5 other names. Lineage: Eukaryota; Metazoa; Chordata; Mammalia; Artiodactyla; Bovidae. The record is from Rfam by way of RNAcentral.